Tribolium castaneum (red flour beetle) is the source of this 70-nucleotide microRNA precursor. It matches the Rfam family "mir-1000 microRNA precursor family". NCBI's taxonomy places the organism in Eukaryota, Metazoa, Arthropoda, Insecta, Coleoptera, Tenebrionidae. The record is from Rfam.
GGCCAUGAUAUUGUCCUGUCACAGCAGUACUGGUUCCGAGUUACUGCUGCUUCGGGACAUGACCAUGGCC